GCUUAGUUAAAAAGUAAGGGUUGGUUCAACGGGAUGACAGGCCACUAGGCCUGCCGAAAGCCGAGGCAUCGCCCUCCCAAAGUGAUAGCGAGAGAACCGGACAUCAUACGGAGUGCACAGCUCCAGAAAUGGCAUUUCCAUUUCAUAUCAUUGUUUGACGCAGUAGAUAGAUGGUUGGUUAGAACAAGGCUGUUUGAAACCAAGGCUCCUCAUGAAUCCGGGGACCUGGUCGAGACUGCACGUCAGCUUGUCAGACAGGUACAGUGGCGGUUUUGGCCGGAGAUUGGAUACUGUGGCCCGAGCCGCCCGCCCGCGUCGGAGUACUAGUUAGUGGUUAUACGGAAAAUACGGAA
This 353-nucleotide small RNA is filed under the name Histoplasma ohiense. Its description in RNAcentral is "hypothetical lncRNA". The record is from RNAcentral. Lineage: Eukaryota; Fungi; Ascomycota; Eurotiomycetes; Onygenales; Ajellomycetaceae.